AAAUUGUCAUUAUUGCUGAACAAUAUCUGAAGUGUUUAAUAAUGUAUGUGCAAAUGUAUCAUUAUUAGUCAAUAUGGUUUGUGCUGCAGGAAGGGGGGAAGCCUGAGGUAUCCAAGUAUUUAAACGCUAGAGAAACACACACAGACAUGAUCACAUGAUCCAUGGUCACAUGACCCAGAUAACUGCCGUUUCUCUGUCAGUUAGGAGAGCCGAUCAGCCGAAGAACAGGUGAUUUCCUCAGCAGUUUUGGUCCUGACACGUCAAAAAUUGGAAAAGGGAGAUGAAAGAGAGAAGAUGACAAAGGGCAAUAUAGACCGGGUGAAACAUCGCUGGAAAUUGUCCUUCCUCGUCUGAAUACAAAUUUUAUGCUAUCAAGCAUUUUUUUUAUCCAAUAGAGGAUCCAUCUUCAGCACAUCAAGUCUCCUUUCGACUAUUUCCCUAAUCUUAAUUGCCUGGUUGCUGUAUUGUGUAAUUAAAAAGUGUUUUCUCCAUAUUUUGUAAUUUUUUCUCUCCAAUUUUUUCAUUUUCCUUUUUUAGAUUGUGAAUUUACAAGUUCUUCUCUAGAAGUUGCAACUGCUGUUUCAUAAGCCAUCUUAAUAUGACAGUGUGACAAUAUUUAAGUUUAUAUUCAAUGCAUUGGUUUAAAAUAAAUAUUGAUUUUCUACAGUAAA
This is a long non-coding RNA of Xenopus laevis (African clawed frog), 671 nucleotides long. RefSeq lists it as uncharacterized. The record is from RefSeq and is a predicted model, not a curated record. NCBI's taxonomy places the organism in Eukaryota, Metazoa, Chordata, Amphibia, Anura, Pipidae. The transcript is spliced from 2 exons.